UCUGCACAUUCUUAGUUGUGUCUCCUGGAUGUCCUAUGGGUGUGCCCAGCGGUGGAAUGGCUGGGCCACAGGGUAUGUGAGUUUUUAACGUUACAAGAAAUGGUCCACCUGUUGUCUCAUAGUUGCACCAACUUACAUCCCCACCAGUUGUGGAUAAGAAAGCUGAAUGUCUGCCUGCUUCUAAGAUUUGGGUACAGAUUCCCCAAUACCAUCUUUUACAUCUUCUACCAAGUUUGCAGAACAGAUUUAUGCUAAAGUUUAGCCCCGUGGCCAGUGUUUCUUACCCUUUGUAAACUUUUAAAGGCAACUGCUACAUUUGAUUUCCACAAUCUUCUUGGAUUUAUUUAACUCUCCCAAGACUUUUUAACACCCUACAGAAUACCUAACCCUCAUGGUAUCCUGGUGUGUUGCAGGAAAGUUCUAAGUGGGUGUUUGGUUGUGAUGCUGGUGAUGGAACCCAUGAUCUCAAACAUGUUAAAAACGCACUCCACCCUGAGCUUGACACCCCCAGCACACCAAGGAGGUGCUCUUACUUCAUCUCUGGUGCUCUGGCGCUCACACAGGCUCACCUGCAGAGGAUGCUGGGUAGGCGACAGAAGAACAAAGUCCAGCAGUCAGUAAACAUGGUGCUUUCAGAAGAAGAAAGGGGCUAUUUUUUUUCAAUGCCAUAAACAAU
Molecule: long non-coding RNA, 676 nt
Filed under: Marmota monax (woodchuck)
Lineage: Eukaryota; Metazoa; Chordata; Mammalia; Rodentia; Sciuridae
Source: RNAcentral